Long non-coding RNA from Erinaceus europaeus (western European hedgehog), 427 nucleotides. RefSeq lists it as uncharacterized. The transcript has 3 exons. The record is from RefSeq and is a predicted model, not a curated record. NCBI's taxonomy places the organism in Eukaryota, Metazoa, Chordata, Mammalia, Eulipotyphla, Erinaceidae.
UCUAGAGCUCUGUGGGAGGGAACUGGGCAAUAAUCCCAGUUAGUUUUCUUGCUUCCUCAACAAUAUCUCCUCCUCCCUAUGUUAAUGGCUUGUCACAGCACAAGAUACUGACCCUGGACUGGAAAGAAUGCUUGAUUCAAGGCACAGGAAGAGAGAAAAAUUGAGAGGGUAGGGAGAGACAGAGAGGGAUAGAGAAAGACAGAUGACUGCAGACCUGCUUCACCAUUGAUGAAGAUCCCCGCUGCAGGUGGAGAGUGGGGGUUUGAACCUGGUCCUUGCUCAUGGGGUGGUGAGAGCUGGAUAACAAGGCUGCAUUUGGAGUUCAGCAGGGAGGUCAGUGUGUUCUCAGGAUGCUGGGGGCCCAGGACUUACAGUCCCUCACCCCAUGCAAGCCCAGCUCAGUCUGCUCAGAUGGCUCCAUUAUAGU